CAGCAAUGCUGCAUUCAGUACUGUCUUUCAACCUAUCUGAUUACUGCCUUCUUAAUUAUAUUUCCGUAUAGAAAUGAAUGAUUUUUUUCAUGAUUGGAGUCUAAGCUACGUCAAAGGGUGUUGAACCUCACCCAGAGAAGAAUCAGGCAUAAUCAGGUAGAGCAAAUAUUACGCAAUCUGCCUAUGAGAAAUACACGCCUCAUGUACAGUUCAAGCUUCUAGGGAUCCUGCUGGGACACGAAGUUGGAAAGGAAGGCUGGAAGCAAACCUCCAUGAGUUCAGGAGCUUCAAGGAGAGGAACUCUACCAACAACCACAGGAACCUGGA
RNAcentral lists this long non-coding RNA (327 nucleotides) under Vulpes vulpes (red fox). Its description in RNAcentral is "lncRNA (ENSVVUG00000009705.1)". Lineage: Eukaryota; Metazoa; Chordata; Mammalia; Carnivora; Canidae. The record is from RNAcentral.